Molecule: long non-coding RNA, 824 nt
Organism: Daphnia carinata
Lineage: Eukaryota; Metazoa; Arthropoda; Branchiopoda; Diplostraca; Daphniidae
Exons: 2
Source: RefSeq, a predicted model, not a curated record
ACUCAUCGUUCAGCAACUGUAGUACAGAAACUCGUGUUAUUCAGCUGUUCACUACCAAAUUAACUUUCACGUCAUGGGCCAUGGGUGGGCCGAUGAGUACGUCUUCAUACGGGUACUACAGCACUCCGGCAUCCUACUACACCUCCAAGGCUCCUGAGUACUAGACAAGGAAGGCCGAGUAUUACACGACAACAUAUGCUGCCCCUACCUACUACACCGAGCCCCACAAGUACUACACGACAAAUGCGCCCGAAUACUACACCACGGCAUCCUACUACAGCACUACACAUGCAGCCCCCACUUACUACACUACAAAGGUGCGCGAGUAUUUUACCACAACAUAUGCUGCUCCUACUUACUAUUCGGAGGCACCGAGAUACUACUCCGUACCGAGCUAUUACAUAGAGGCGCCGGUGUAUUACACAACAACAUAUGCUACUCCCAGCUACUACUCCGAGGCAAUGAAGUACUACGCACCUUCAAGCUACUACCAGACUGAAGCCCCCAGCUACUACACAACGAAAGCGCCAGAGUACUACACUACCACUUACGCCGCUCCCAGUUACUACACCGAGACUACAGCUUAUUACACAACAACAUACGCCACUUCCAGCUAUUACACUAAGCCGCCGAAGUUUUAUUAAUCGUGAAAUUGCGCUGUCCGUCAAGCUCGAUGACGGAAGAAUUAGAUCUUGUUUUAUUAUUUGCUGUCCUCGUUCCAAAUUGAGUAUUUCCCUGCCGUGCAUUGAUGCAUUAACUAGUCGGUCCAUACGAAUGUGGUUUAUAAAUGAAAUGUUAAAUACAGCUAUAAUGCCGUUACCAAA